GACAACGGGUCGAAUUUAUGACUCUCUGGAGGGUCACCCCUCUGCCGGGGACUCUGUUCAGUUAGGGGGAACUUCCCAGGUGCCAUCGGACCAUUCGUUCAGAGGGACUUCCCGGUGACGCAGGACUCCGGCAGUGGCAGUUGACACCUCCAAGAACCACCUGUGAAGGGAAGGAGACCAGGCCAGUCUGCAGCCGGCCGGUGAAGGAAAAGUCUUGCAGGCAAAUAUUGGGGAAGGCGAAAAGAGGUAGCUGAAAUCAAAUCCUGGAUCCAUUGGUCCCAAGUUAAAGUGGCUGCCCCAACCCAGUGGAAAGUUGGAGGCAACUCGGUUCAAUCACUGAAACUAACUCUUCAAAGGACAAGAGGGAACCUCUCCCUUUCUGGUGAUACUCCGGGAGCUGUCCCUCUACGAACGGGAGAGGUGAAGAAAACCCCUGCAGGUGUUACUCUGGAGGCUAACAUCUAAUGCACAGUAUUAUGUUGCUCUCAGAAGUGUUGACGUGGGAGUAGAAGUUAUGUUGCAAAUCUCAGGAAAAUACAAGGAACAGAAGUAAGGAACUUGUUAAAUGUACUGAUGAGCUUAAUGACCUAUGUUCUAUAUCAUUCCUGUAACAAACUUAUAUUAAGCAAUAUGUCACCAGAUGUGUUCACGGAAAGUAAUAGACGGUGUAAGAUAGUACCCAUAUAUGGAAAUAGAGUCAGAAGCAUAAUGCCUCUGGUGUGGCUAGAAUUGCAAAAUGUAUAAAAGGUACACCUUGGGCGUAGCCCAGGGUUCAGAAUCUGUCAUUCUAAUGCUCUGAACAUUUGCGCAAAUAAAAACCUGUGUUCUCCAAUCUUUGUGGUCUUGUCUCCUGAAUUGUUAAUGUGGGUUUUCUCACUACAAUACAAUAAUAGAACAGAAUAAACUGAUUAAAUAACAAUUUAAAACAGCAACAGAGACUGAACUAUUAACAGUUCCAGCAGAAAUACAAAAAUUAAAAGACAGAAUUAAAAGAGUUUGCUU
Molecule: non-coding RNA, 1002 nt
Organism: Pantherophis guttatus
Lineage: Eukaryota; Metazoa; Chordata; Lepidosauria; Squamata; Colubridae
Source: RefSeq, a predicted model, not a curated record